Cinara cedri is the source of this 10861-nucleotide non-coding RNA. NCBI's taxonomy places the organism in Eukaryota, Metazoa, Arthropoda, Insecta, Hemiptera, Aphididae. The record is from the annotation of a GenBank genome assembly.
ACAGCCGUGCCGAACGCGCGCACGGGAAGCCAUUGCUGUUCGUCCGGCUCUCACGUUUUGCGUGCGUGUGCGUGUGUCGCAGGCAACGAGUUCGGCGUCAUUGUCGGCCGACCGCCGUGGUGUGUGUAUUGUAUACGCUCACUUUUCGCCAGGGGGGUCGUCGUCACUACCGCCGCCGUCUCUGCGCCCUAGUUUUCACUCCCCCCACGUAAACGUCUUCGUCUCCGUCACCGUAAGUAUAAUAUAAUUUGAUUUUGAUAUUGCCUAUUUUUAUUAACAUUUUGCGCGCUUAUGCAUUGUCAUGACCGUUCGCACUGAGGUCUUUAUGUAUUACGGUUUAUGAGUAUUAUUAUUCCAUAUUUUAUCGCCAUUGUGCGUCGUUGCGCACUACCCGCAUGACGAAUGGGGGGAUCACAUGUACGUACACCGGAAAAAUUAUUCGUUGGACAGAGGAUCCGACUAAAUGCAGUUGGGAUGACGAGAAGUUCUCGAACUACGCGAUAAAAGACUUAGUGUAUGGGGCGACCCAUUAACGCCGAAACAGGGUCGAUACACGCGUCCCGGUUCCCUCGUAUACACCCCCGACACGCACUGGUCUUCGUAGAUCAGCAUCCUCUUGUUCCCCUCCACACACUCCCGUCACGGGCUACCAUCGACACGAUGAGUCUUCGCGGUACACCGUCCGUACACCGUAAUUCACGACCUCAAGUUUCCGGAACGACGCGAUAUAAUAAUACAGUUUUCUCACGUCAAGCUUCCGGUUUGCGUCUAAUUUUCUUCGCGUUUUUUUUCCACACCUACCCACCGUGUUUACACUAUUUCGUUUCUUGUUGUAUAACGACUGAUAGCGAUGCCUAUUUAUGACACCACUAAAACGGUACACUUAAAUUCUCAAUAUUAAAACCAGGUACACACGAAAAUUAUUUUCGAGCACAGAAUUAAGUGUACCGUAUACCUGCGAUAGUUUAUAAUUCGGCUCGUUUGAUUAACCGGCACCGGCCGGAAUACACUGUCGGCACAACCACGACUAUUAUAUUAUUAUGAUCCAUCCGCGGUGGAUGGACGAGGACUCGUGGAAGAGUGCGAAAAAAAACAAAUCACCCGUAGGUAUGCCGACUACUUUAUCGACUAGGUUUACUAGUUCACUACGCCACCGCCGACUCGUCGGUUUUUGAUUUCACGUACUCGUUACCCCGUAGACCGUGUAAGGCAGUUUUCACGAAGCCGUCUCUUUUGCCCCUCAAUCCCCCUCACCACCUAAUUUCCACGGCGCUCUACUUUUGGAUUAUUUCUCUGGCGGAACGAGGCUCGGAUUGCGCGUCACGUUGUUUUUCUCUACUUUUCGGUAUGCCAGUACGGCCGUACACUUGUCGCGAAACGUGUCUGUCCGUGUUCGCCUUCGCUGUUACGGAUAUUAGAUUGCAGUCGCUAAUUAUUGUAUUCACCGCCCUCCCCCCUUCCACUCGCCCAAACGACUCGACCGUUUAGCGAGUCGAUCGAGUUUCGGGGGUUUGUCUCCCCCCCUCCCGCCUUAGACACCUUAGAUACCGCCGUUGCAACGAUUAAAAACCUAUUAAAGAUUUAAGACUCCGUUUCGACGCGUUUUAGCGAGUGGCAGUCGCGUUUACGACCUACGCUCGCUAUUCACUUAGACGAGGGGCAAGCGCACUCUAGCGUUUUGUCAUCGCAACGACGACGCCGUGUCGAAUGCGUCUUUGUUACCGACACGUACGUAUGUACGUGAGUGCGUGCGGCCAAAACGUACGUAUGACGUAUUGACGGUACGGUACGUACGGCUACCUAAUUGUAUGUGUGUGUAUGCUUGGCUUAUCAUCGAGCCGACGAUAAUACCAUUUGUCUUUGUGAAAUAUACACCCACACGCACACUAUACACUCAUAAUACCAUGUAACAUUGCACACACAUAAUAAAAAUAACAAUAUUAUCAACCACCGCGGCCGCGCAGGAUUAAAGAAAUGUACCACGAAUAAAAAAUACCAUAGUCCUAUUAUAAUAUGCCUCCGCCGCGGUACCGCUAUCGUCGUGUUCCAUGUCGUUGAUCCGAACGCGCGAAUUUUAUUCCGCCACUCUACACGGCAGACACUUAAAAACCCGCGACACCACAACCGUCGAGAACCGAGAGGUACUAAGUAUUCGUUUUCGUUAUCGUUUUUCAAGGUUAAUCGAUAAUAUUGUGAUCGUCGUACCCUGUGAAACGUCGUUGACAAUGUAAAAUUAUUAUUAUUAAAUACGGUUUGUGAAAAUCAAAAAUAACAUUACACCGUUUUCCAUAAUAUUAACAUAAUAUUUAUUUAAUAGUAAUAGCAUAAUAAUUCUCGUGUAGACGAAUUCGAUCUAAACGCGUUUCCGUCGGAUUCGCCCGUCCGACCGUCGACCAUGUCGGCCACUACCUCGUGCAUGUGUGGAAGUACUAUGUCAAGGCGAAAGACUGCAACGACAAGGUCGCGGCCGUCGAUCGCGGUGCGAAAUAUGUUACGUUUUUAUUAUAAUGUCGCAGUUGCACUAUUACAAUAACAUUGCGUUCGUAUGUUAUAAAGUUUGUCGCGCGACUGGAUUUUACGGCCGCGCAGAUCUCUCGUAAGACUAAUGCGUGGCGGACAAAGGCACUCCACCGGUCCACCGCCAUGAACGUCCAUCCGUCCGGUAUUAAUCCCGUCGUCGACGCUUCGCCGCCGCUUUUCCGAAUUCCGACGUCCCAGCGCGGUCGCUGCCCUGUAGAUUCUAAUGCAGUAGCGCGUGUCAUAGCUAAAUAUUAUACAAUACGCGCAAUUUCAUAAUAAUUAAUAUAAUAAUAUAGGCGUUUUGUGAUUGAAACGGGUUUUUAGAUAAACCGCAGCCGCCGAAUCGCAUAUUUCCACAGAUAGAACUUAAACCAAUUUAACGGUACCAAACAAGUACCUAUUAAUUUCGAAUAUACCCACCUAGUUUGUUGGUUUUUUUUUUUUUUGGUCAGUACUGUAAUUCUACGUUAUUAUAGGGAGUCCGUGGGCGAACAUGUUGAUUUAUCGUGGGCCCUUUUAUUUCAUAUAUAAAACUGUAAAUUGUACCCAAUACAAUGUAUUGUAGAUCGCAAAAAUCGAAAUAUUAUGUUUCGUUUCUGUGCUGUGGGUUAAAUGUUGACGCCCUCGAGGCAUUUGGCCCACACCCUAGUUUUGUGUUCGAAACGUCAGUUAUUAUAUUUGGAAUUCGACUGUAUAAAUGCUAUCAUGAAUCGUUCGACAGAAUGUCACACCGAAAUAAGAAUAUGUAUUUCAAAUAAAAUUACUUAAACCGCACAGUACAAUUUAUAAGGACCGCCGUGAUUAUUCACCCCGGAGGUGGUGAAAAACAUAUUUGAAGAUAUAUAAUAUAAAACUGACAAUUUGAAAACGUUUAGAAUACAGAAUUAACAGCAGUUAAAAAUUAUUUAUCUAAAAUAACCAUUAUCUUGUGAUGUAGGGACCAACGUUGCAGUAUAAGUUAUUUAGGGAGGGUUUUCUAAGCCUUGUGAAUAAGUUUCCCGUAUCUGGGGGUGAACUGCACUGCAAGGUACGAAGUAUUUAUCAAUAAUAAUUAAAACGACUCGUUUUGUUUACAAUUCUGAUAUAAAUUAUGUUUGAUAAUCGACUUUACCUGUAAGAUGGCUGUUAACGUGUCCGUUUAUGUUGAUGGUAGCCGGCGAACUGUCCCUCGCCGUCUGUAUUUAAAUAUGUAAUAAUAUAUUAUUAUACAGUUUGGCCCCCACCGAGAAGUGCUAAUGUAGUAUAAAUGUAUAAUAUACAUAUUACAUGGUGAAUAUAAUAUACUACAUACAUGUAACGAAUGUUAAAAUCUCGUAAUGUUCACAUUUUAUGGAUGCCCAUAGUUAUAUAAUUUCUCUUUUCUAAUUACAAAUUUAUAGUCAUCAUUCAUCAGUGUAGGGUGGGGGUUGAAUAAUGAAAAAUCCGUUUGGGGGAAUAAACAAAGAGGUCUUUCUAUAUCUUGUAUAUGCAGUGGCGUAGCCUGGAAUUAUCAAUGAGAGGUCUAGGGGGGGUUUAGGGGCUCUAUAACUUACUUAACCUAUGGAAAUGGAUGGUUAUAAAAUCCAACUCCUGCCCCUUGGUUACUCCACUGUAUCUAUGUUUUGUUACAAUAAUCUAAAAAAAUGAAUUUUUUACAAAUCAACAGCAGUGGUGGAUCACUAGCCUUGUAAAUGAUGUAGCAAAUAUUUUGAUAAUUACAAAGCGUGGAGGUUUUAUAAUAAGUACUAUCAGAAAUAUGAUUAUCAUUAAUUAUUUGAUUAGUUAAUUUUAGGAUUUGUUCAUCAGUAAUUAUUUUGAAAGUUUAAAAAUAUUCGGUAAUCGUACAUAUUUUUCUGAAACCGAACAUUACUAUAUAUUUUAAAGAAAUUCCUUUCGUUUUGGAAAUAUAUUAUACUACAACAUAUAUUAGAUAUAUGUUAUAUAGGUUCCACGACAUAAUAUCACGAAACUACAAUAUCCCCGCAAAAAUAUUCCAUGUCAAAAAAUCCCGUGUAAAUAAUAAUUCAAAAUGUCAACCUUUAUUAUUAACACAAAAAAAUUAAUUAAAAAAUGUUUACUGUUGAAAAUUAGAAAAUGUCAUAUUUUAACUAGGAUGUUAUGUUUAAUUCUAAUCAAAAUUAAGAAAUCGGUUCUAAAUAAAAUUAUUUACAUGAUAAUUCGUCUGUAGUUGUGUGACAUCUUGUCAAAUAAUUUUUUCUUUUGUAAUCAGUGCAACGCCAAUUUAUUAUUUUUUUCAAUAUUUCGGUGUAUACUAAAUGAAUAACCUUCAAAUAUUAAUAAUUUAUUGCUUUUUUGGCUUUGGAUAAAUUCUAACAUUUUGUACCUGUCACAAACUUGUACUAACAUAAACAGUUAACUCACGAGUAAUAAAAACGAAACACUAUACCAUUAUUAUAUUAUUAUUUCUUAUCGCAACUUUCAUAAUAGAAGUUAAUUAUUUUAGGUUAAAAUGUUGAAUUAAUACUUACGCGGGAAUUUUUGACAUGGAAUAUUUUUGCGGGGAUAUUUUUGUCGUGUCACCAUAUACAUAUACAUUUAUCUAGUAAUGAGUAUUUCUGAAUAGUCUUAUAGUUUUUCUUAUAACCGAAUAAACACUAUUCGAAAUUCGAAUAGAUUUUAAUCUAUCGAAUGGUUCAAUAGUAAUUAUUCGAUUGUGUCUAUUAUUAAAUCUAAUUACCUAUAUGUAUAUUUAUUGUAAUUAGAAAUGUAUAUGAGGUGACACCUCAUCACUUUUCUCGUCUAGGAAGCCAUCACUCGUCUGCAGUCGUCAAUAAAAUAGUCUACAACCGAAUAAGUUAAUGAGUGCAUAAGAAAAAAGAAAUCUGAUGGUGAUAUCAGGGUAUUUGGGAGUAUAAUCGAAUCUUUUAAACGACAAUAAAUAAUAAUGCUGAUAAUAAUCUGAUUUUUUCAUUUCAACAUUUGUGCGUUUUCCGAAUUUAUCCACGUAUAUGACCAAUGAAGUCGAGGUCUUGGAUCUUGUAUAGUCCGCAUUUUUUACAGUGCAGUGCGAAUGUGUUUUUUUCCCGACUUAUUAUUAUUUUAUCGGUGUUGUUCAUUCAUUAAACAAAAAACGAAAUGGAUACCAAAAUAUACGUUUGUGUAAUGUAUGACUAUUUAAUAUAACAUUAUUGUCUAUUGAUGGUAUAUUAUAAUUUGUAUAAAGUAUUUGCUUGAUUCGAUAUCUGCAUCUUCGUUCAACGGUCCUAUAUAUAGGGUCUUCCAAAUUAUAUAUAGAUUAUAAAUAAAUAAAUUUAGAGCUGUGAAUUCGUAACGUGAGUAUUUUUAAAUGUAGAUUCCGUAAGAUGUAGUACAAUUAAAAUAUAAAAUGUUUAAAAUUUAAAAUUUAAAAAAUUAAUAAACAUAAUAAUUUAGAUUUAAAAUUUUGAGCUUACUGAAGAUGCUAGAUAUCAUAGUUUUAAUAAGAUAUUUAUUUUUAGAAAAUACUUUUUUAACGAAUAAAAUACUCCGAUUUUUGCAUGCAGUACUUUAAUAGAUACGAAAUUUCUGUCUGGUUGUACUUUAUUUGAUACACUUUUUGAAAUUCUCAACACAAUAAUCCAAACAUUUUCUUUGAAUUUUUUUUCUUUAGAAAAACGACUUUUCCGUUAGGAAACAUUUUUCAAAUUGUUCACACCUUACAUUUUUUACCCGGUAGUACUUUAUUGAAAAAUAUUUCCAGAUUCAUUACAGUUCUUUUAUUUAACUAUUAUAGUGAUAAGUAAAAUUAAUAAUUAGAUAAUUAAAAUAGUCAAACUCCUACCUGCAUAUGAUUUUAUUACAAUCUAGUCAAUAAUAUUUUUAAAUUACUGCUACUAAAUAAUUAUAAUAUGAUUUAUAAAAUAUAUAAUUAAAUAAUUUUCGUAUUAAACUUUUUUUAAAAUCAUAAUCGAUAAACAAUUCGUCGCUUAUCGGUGUUUUAACAAAACAUCAUAAUAUUAACUUCAGUUUAAUCUGAUUACUGUACAAUGUACAGAUACUACUAUUAUUAUUAACAAUAUUAUUUUUUUUACUGCAGUAUUCUUUAUGAAACUUAUUUAGUAAAACUUACUUAGUAAACUGUUAAUAUGAAGUAUAGUAAACACUAUGCAUAAACUACAACAUUAUGCAUGUUGUUCGAGUGUACGUUGGAAACUGAAUGUUAACUCUUAUUGGCAUUAACUUAUCUACAUGGCAAAGUGUGAACUCUUAUUAAGUAUUUUGUCGAAACGUAUUUUGCAGGGAUUCUAUUUUGUCGGAAAAUAAUUUUUACCCAACGACGAUAAUAUGCAAUCACUGAGUGCUUAUGAUGUAAUAAUAUUGUACGGUUCGACAAAACACUUUCCAACAAAUUAUUUUCCUGGCAAAAUACGGUUACGAAAAAAACACUUUCUGACAAAAUAUUUUCUAAUAAAAUAUAACCUUCCUACUUAUUCUCUUAUUUUCGAAAAAAUUAUAGUAAAAAAAAAAAAAAACUGAUACUGGGGAUGGGAACAACCAUUGCUGUAGGUGAAAAGUUGACAAGGUAGGAUAUAUAAGGUUAUUUCAUUUAUAUCUGUAGCGAUAAACCAUUGCUAGAUGAAAGACGAUUCCGAGCCCAGUUCGGUAAUACAUAAUUUGAAGUGCCGUAAUUAUUUUUGCGAAUUUUCAUUUAAAUUUGAUUUCAGAAGGCUUAUUAAAAACAAAAAAAUUCCGAUGAUUUUGGAUAUUUUACCACGUCUUGGUAAGUUGAAUAUAAGUAUUAUAACCAAGUUUCAAGUCUUUACGUAUAUUUAUAACCGAAUUACAGCAAAAACUCUCAAAAAUUAAAAAAUUUUUAAAGCUCAAAAUUGGCUAAACAGUGUUGGCGAUAAUACUGUAAGAAAGUAAAUAAAAAAGGCAACAUUUGUGAUUUUUCGGUUAAAUCAUUUUUCUAUUUUUCUGGUAGAAAACGUCGUUUGUGUUUUUAUAAAAUAAUGAAAUCGUGAAAUUGUACGUUUUCCUACGUUUUUUCUCACUUAAGUGCUUUUAUUUAAAAAAUGACAUCAAAAAUCAAAAAAUUACCUGUUUAAAGUACUAUAUAGAUAACUUGAGCUUUUAGAAAAGUUGCUACAUGUCAAAGUUGGAGCAAGUUUAUUGGAAAAAACGUAUCCACAGACUAGAACAAAGAAAAAAAAAAAUAAACAGAAUUGUAAAACCAAUAGCUCCCUCGCUACGCUCAGAAUCUAAAAAACAAACGGACAUUCUUCGCACGAUGGAUGAGCCACUGUUGUAGGUGAGAGUUGGGAAGGUAGAGGGAAUUUAAUGUGUAUCUGUACGCAACAAUUAACCACCGCUAAUAAAAAACAAUUCUAAGUGGAGUUUGAUUACACAGGUUUUGAAAAAUCGUGAUAUUUACGGUUUGAAAAUAAUACAUUUCGUAAAUUUUUCCGGUUUUCCAACGUUUUUUCCUAGUUUUUCCUAUUUAUUAAAAAAAAAACCAUGAGAAAAUUAAAAAAUAACCUAGAAUACAACCCCACGUAAAUUUCCUUUCAGAAAAGUUGUUCAUAGAAAAAUAAAAAAUAAAUAUCACUGUAAAUCCAAUGCAUUCCUCACUUCACUCAGGACCUUAAAUAUAUAUAAUAAUCGUUAUAAUAAAUAAUUUUUAUCAAAUCGGAUAACAAGAAUCUAUUUUUUUUCAUUGAAACAUUUGUAAUCUGAAAUACCUACCGAAAUUAUAUUAUUAUAACUAGGGAACGGAUUUUAAUGCCAUAAAAAAUAAGAAAAAUGUCCUGAAAAAAUACGACUUAAUGCCUUAAAAAAAUGCCCUACAAAACAUUAAUUUUUUUUUUAAUUCAAUAAAAACUAUUUUGAACUUACAACUUUUAAAAACACAUUAUUAUGAACAAUUUAUCUAAUACAAAAUAUUUUCUGUAAUUAUAUAUAUAAAAAUAUAGUUCAAUUAUCUUCUUCAUCUUAUUAUUCUUCAUCUUCUUUUUACCCUGAAAAUUAUUUUUAAGACGAGGCUAUACGCGAUAUUAAACGAUGAAGUAAUGACAACUCAAUAGUGCAACACAAAAUUACAAUUCAGAUAAAAAGAUUAUCUUAUCUUUACUUGUAUAUAUGUAUAAUAUACGUGUGUCAACAAUAAUUUCGUCUGGAGUCAGGGUUUAUCCGAUCGGUAAAAACAUAAUAAAUAUUUAUUUUUAUUUUUUUAGAAUGAAUGUUAAUCUACAUUUUUAUCGAAUUUUAUCCAUUCCUAUACAAAAAUGACUUAAAAACAUUAAAAUGUCCUAAAAAUAUCAAAAUAUAAUCUAAAAAUGUAAUAAAGUCUUAAUAAUACAAACAUAUGCAAAAAAAAAUGCAAAAUAGAAGUUACAUUUCUUAAUUCCUUGAUGUAUGAAAUGAACUUUGUGCUUGGAAAGCAAUGUUUUCUGAUAUUCAGAAAAAAUACAAUUUGCAUUCAAAUCCGUUCCCUAAUUAUAACCUUUGAUUAUAGGGAAAUUGUGGUCCAGGGCGAAAAGAAAAACAGGAAUCGAUUAUUGCAUUUUGAGAUGUUAAAAAUUUAACAUGCAUUAUUUUGAUUUUGUUUACAAUCAACGUAAAUUGACACGACGGCGUAUAAGUAGUGCUGUUGUCCUACUUACAUGAAAUAUUAUAUUAUAUUAAAUAAAUACGCGCAUAGUGAAAACAAAAAUACAGCUAAACAUACCUACCCAUUUAUAGAAGUAAUUAAAAAAAAAAAAAGUAUGGACUUACUUCACACGAUGUGUGGGCCACUGUUGUAGGUGAGAAGUUAGCAAGGUAGGAUAUAUUAGAGAAUUUAAUGUAUAUUUGUACGCAACGAUUAAUCUUUGCCGGUGCCUGCCCGAUAGAUUUCGGGGCCCUGUGGAGAAUUUUGCAAGGCCUAUAUUUAUUUAUUUUAUUUACUAACUGACUUACUUUAUUUUCAUGUAAUUUUAUAAACUUUAAGGUCUUGUUAGAAAUCUAAAUUUAUAUACCUAUAUAUAAAGUAAUAAAAUAAAAUUAAGUAGGUAUACCUACUUAGGUACAAACAAUAUUUUAUUGAUUAAUAUUUUUAUUAGCUAUGUAUAAUUGGUACCAUCUUGAUUUUCGUUAAUAACAAUUCUUGUCCUAAGAAAACUACACGGCCACACAGUUCAUGAAUCGAAAUUUGUUUACUAUUGGGACAAUAUUAUUAUGAUUAUUUAUAGAUAAUGUGAUAUUAGUAAUAUUAUAUACAUAAUUUUUGGGGUUCCGUAGAAGUGCGGGGCCCAGUGCGGUCACACCGCUUACCCCUCCCCCCUUGGCCCGGCACUGAUCUUUGUUAAUGAAAAACGAUUCUGAGUGGAGUUCGGUUAUGCAUGUUUUGAAAGUCCGUAAUAUUUAUGAUUUGAAAAUAAUAUAAUUCGUAAAUUUAAUGGUUGAUAAUGAUGAUUUGUCAACAAUAUAUAUGUCAUAUUAUGGUAAAAUAAUUAUAUAGACAUUAUAUAUUUUCUUUAAUAUUAUUUGUUGAAUAUUGUACCGGUUUUCCUGAGCUUUUCCCGUGUUUUUUCCCAGUUUUUCACAUUUUCCGGGAAAAAUCAUAAAAUGAAUUCCCCAAGUUACCAUGGAGAUAAAAUCCUUUCAAAAAAUAUGCUACACUUGAGACAUCGAUGCAAGAUUUUUGAUAGAAAACAUAGCACAACAUAACGAGGGGUAAUUUGCAAUUAAAAUAGUCCGAGCGAGCGAUGGCUAGAGUCUCUAGGUACAUCAAAUGCAAACAAUAUUUUUUCGAACUCGUAUACCCUAGGAAAAAAAUAUUUCUAUAUUCAGCUGACAAACAUAGUUUAGAGAAUACAGUAUUUAGUUAUUUACAUAAAAUAUAAUAUCAGAACUAUAAAAUGCUGUAAUUUCGAAAUUUUAUCAGUUCGCUCAAUUCUGACUUCACCAUCGUUCUUAAAUCUAAAAGUAGAUUUCUUCCACGUAAUCUUUUUCAUAAUUUUUAACGAUUUCCGACAAAAUUUGAUAUUAAAAUUUCUUUAUAAAAAAAAAUACUUCAUUAUACUCAAAUUUUCUUUAUUGAUCACAAAGUAAGACUCUUAAUGAACCCCCUGUUAAAUUUCCAAGCAUUUCUAUUAAGUUUAACAAUUUUACCACAGAGUACUUACCAAAUAAAAAUUACGUACAAAACUUGCAAAAUUAAAAUGUCUAUAUCUAAAUUUUUGAGCUAUUUAUAGCUCAAAAAUAGCUUACAUUUCUUUGGACAUUUUACAUUUUCUAGAAAAGGUAAAUAUAAUUUUUUGGGCCGAAUUUCUAGUCUCUACGAAUAUUUUUAACUGAAUUACAAAAAAUAAUAAAAGCAUUAUUUUUGUAAAUUUGCCGAUUUUCUUACGUUUCAACUUGGUUUUUCACAGUUAUGAAAACC